This is an RNA transcript of Ziziphus jujuba (common jujube), 3932 nucleotides long. It is a transcript of the gene named RNA-binding protein CP33, chloroplastic, with no coding region annotated. NCBI's taxonomy places the organism in Eukaryota, Viridiplantae, Streptophyta, Magnoliopsida, Rosales, Rhamnaceae. The record is from RefSeq and is a predicted model, not a curated record. The transcript has 6 exons.
ACAAUUAUAUCCAUCGAAGAUAACAGCCUCCCUUAUCGUAUUCUUCUUCUACUUAUCUUCGGCUCUCCACAACAAUGGCGGCACUGGAAGCUACGCUCUCCCUCUGCCCAGUCUACUCUUCUUCUUCUUCUUCCGCUAAAUUCCCGAAACCAUUCCUCUACUCCUUGAAGUUCCAUAAUUCCAUCUCUGCGCCUCCACUUUCCCACAAUUUGCUUUUUCAUCCUUCCCUGCCCAUUACAAAUAGCCCAUCGAGAAAACUCUGCUUUGAGCUAUGCUCGGCGGUCCAGGAAAUUGUAACAGAGGAAAAAUCUGAAAAAACCCAAGAAUCAAAUCAGAAGAAAAAGCUUUUCGUGGUCAAUUUGCCAUGGUCACUCACUGUUGUGGACAUCAAGAACCUAUUUGGAGAAUGUGGAACUGUCGUGGACGUUGAGAUUAUAAAGCAAAAAGGUGGAAGGAGCAGAGGCUUUGCCUUUGUGACAAUGGCUUCUGGGGAAGAAGCUCAAGCUGUCAUAGAUAAAUUUCACUCUCAAGAAGUUUCAGGUAGAGCUAUAAGGAUUGAGUUUGCGAAACGAUUCAAGAAACCUUCUCCUCCACGUCCUCCUGGUCCUCAACCAGGAGAGACAAGGCAUAAACUAUAUGUGUCUAAUCUUGAAUGGAAAGUAAGAUCAAGCCAUCUCAGAGAAUUUUUCUCUACAAAUUUUAAUCCGGUUGCAGCCCGGGUUGUCUUUGAUGCCCCUUCAGGAAAAUCUGCGGGGUAUGGAUUUGUCUCUUUUGCCACGAGAGAGGAAGCUGAGGAAGCAAUAUCCACCUUGGAUGGAAAGGAAUUGAUGGGCAGACCACUUCGCCUGAAAUUCAGUGAGAAAAACACUGACAAAUCUGAAAACCAAAAGGAAGAGCAAGAUCAGCCUGAAGAAUCAUAGGUCCAAAUAGAUUCUUUUGUCUAUCUCUAUUAAUUGUUUGCAGAUAUGAAUAGAAACAAGGCAGAAGCAGAAAUUUUGACCUCAAUUGACCAUAUAAGAGUGGAAGAAUUUCACUGAGAUUAAUACAUGGAAUUAGUUAUAUCUGCAUACAUUAGGAGUGGAAGAUGGGACUUCAUGUAUAUGUGUCAAGUAAUAAAAGAAAGAAGAUAGGACUUCAUGUAUAUGUGUCAAGUGAUAAAAGAAAGUGGUUGACAAAGAAAAGGUGUAGACAUGACUUCAAUUUAAGCAUUUUUAACUUCCACCAAAUUAAUAGACAGUGGCAUAUAUUCUAUCAGCAAUACUUAAAACUUUGGUAUUUUUUUCAUUUAUGAUAAGCUAAACCUUAAGUGCAUGUGGAUCCUAUUCUUUGAUCUACUUUUUGUUAGCAAUAUCAAAAUGUUGUGAGGGUAUUAAAAGAUUAGUUGAUUUGGAGAGAAUGGACAAGACAGAAACUAGAGAAAAUAAAAGCUAACCAAAGUUUGUCGGCAGUGUAUUUGUAGGCUUGAUUUAAUGAUAAAAUCACAGAGAAUAUACUCAGAGAGUAAGAUUCAAACCUCUCUCAAGUUGUAAUAAAAGAAAAAAAAAAAAUAUAUAUAUAUAUAUAUAUUGUAGGCAGUUAUUUGUUAAAGAGAUGAGUGAUAACUUUAAGCUCUUCAUAUUCACAUGACUAGAGAAAGUUUCUUAAUUGUCUAAAAACUACCUUAAUUUACUAAUCUAUCAUUCCGUUAGUAAUUUCCUACUUCAACUAGCUUUGCUCAGAAGAUAUUCUGAGACUGAGGGAAAUUGGCUGCUGAUAGUUUUUGGUUGAAUACACUUUCUGGGAUUUGUGUAACCCUAAAGCUUUGUGCUCUGUCAUCUAGAUUUCCUUAUUACAAAGUGGGAUAAUCUUUAAUUUACCAAAUCCUUUAUCAAAGUAUUUAGUCCAAAAAACUUUCUUAAAUUGAGAGAAAGAGAUGCUGGCUCUCGAAGAGAAUAUAUGCCCAACUCAAGUGGAAUUAAAGGUCGUUUAUUGAGACCCACCAGAACGUACUUCCUUGCAUUGAGAUCUGACAAAAAGACAAUGAAGUUUUGUAUUCUCUUGAUUAAUUAUAUAUAUAUAUAUAUAUAUGUAUAUAUAUACAUAUAUAGUAUAUGGACAAAAAUAAUAUGAUGAGAAAUUUGAAAAAAAGAAUUAUGAAAUUUAGCAUUCAACUGUCAAAUCUUAUGAUUUUUGUAAUUUGAUAAUUGUAUAUAACUGUCCUUUACAGUUCUUUUCUAUAAGUUAUUUCUAUAUCAAAAUCGCGUGUAUAUAUAUAUAUAUAUAUAUAUAAAUAUAUAUGAGGGUUUAGAACUCAGAAAAAUAAUUUUGGCUGGCAAUUUCGAUGGUUUCACAAGGAUCAUUACAAAUGUGGUAGACGAUCUUCUAGACAGCCUAACCGCUGACGUGGAUGGGAGAUAUAAUCUUGGGGUUUUUAUUUUGUUUUAGUUUUACUUAAUUUUACCAUGUUUACGUAACGCACAGGUUUUUGACUGAGGUUGCUUGUUGAUAAAGAUUAUUUUAUGGUUAUCCUUUAUCUUAUUUCAUUUUUCUUUUUAUCGAGGAAUAUGAUGACCAAAUUUACCUUUAAAAGUUAUUGAGACACAUGGUCUUAAUAUGGUCUACGAAGGCAGAGACUUUAAUGAACUUUUUUGUCAGCAGAGCAUCUUUUUUUAUGUCCUUUGAUUUUAUCAUAUCAGCUAGAAAAAGAAAAAUAAUCCUUUGAAUCUCUCUUGCAAAAAUUGCACUUCCAAAUAUUGGUAGACCUAAAUUGACGGCCACAAUUUUCCUGUUUAACUUUUCUUUUGGGGUGAUGUAAGUAUAACCAGGUCAAUAUAUAUCAAGUUUUUUACACUUGUCUCUAAAAGUAUAGAAUUAAUUGAGGUAUAUAUCCUCCAUUAUGCUGACCAGUGACCCAACUGCAACUGGCUUAUACAAUAAUAAAAGCAUUGAUUACUUUAUUGAAUUCCCAACCAACAUCUCCACCUUAGUCAACAAACCAUUAUCUCGAUAAAAGAUUGGAAAAAAAUAAAGAAAAAGAGAUGAACAGCAAAAGAAAAGAAAAAAAGAAUACCCAUCAGCCCCCCUUUCUCAUCUUCUCUGUCUUUGCUUUGCUUUCUUUUCCAUGUAAGCUCCUUCGGGUUCUCUACAAAGAAAUUUACAAUGCUGUUGGACCUGGCUUUUCUCUCAUACUUCCUUCCCUUCUCGUAACAUAACCCAGAAUAAUCCAAAAAUACCAAUUUUCAUUGAAGGAAGAGAAAAAAAAAAAAAAAAAAAAAAGAAAUCCUGUGUGUGUCCACUCCAAAUAACAAUACUUUCUUCAGCUUAUAUACAGGGUUCUUAUAUGGUUGGUAAAUAUUAUCACACACCCAAUAGUUUGAUUCUAUAUUGUGGAGGGUGAGAAAACUAUUUCAUCCUGUCCCAUCAUUUUUUUGGUACGUAUGUAAUAUUGCCAAUUUCUUUUCCCUAUCAAGACGUGAACAAGGUGGUGGUGACAGAAUUUGAUAAGAGGGUGAAGGAUUUGCCUGCUCUAUUGGAAUGGUGGGGCCCAGAGUGGAAGGCCAACAAGGCCUACAAUUGUCAAUAUGAUUGGGCCACAGAAGUGAAUAUUCUAUUAGUCCAGAUACAUCAGAUCGGGUUGGUUCAACUGCAACUUUGUUUUGGUUAAUCAUGAAAGAGGGAAAUCCGAAAUCGUACACGAAAUAAAAUGCCAAUUUAGAAUGAUUGUAUUUACAGGGUUAGAUGGACAAAACUUUGCAUUAGAUUCAUUGUGGUCUCGUUCACAUUGUUAUCACUUGGAGGUCUUAGACAAGGCCCUCUAAACCAUUGUUUUCUUAUUUUAUUCUGUAAUUUCAUUUUUCAUUUUUUUUUUUUUUUGGGGAAACUGUAAUUUCAUAUUAUAGUAGACUUUGAUUAGUGCCACUUCAUUCGAGUAAAGCCAUUUUGUUUCAUCUUUA